This 497-nucleotide ribosomal RNA is filed under the name uncultured bacterium. Its description in RNAcentral is "partial 16S ribosomal RNA". It matches the Rfam family "Bacterial small subunit ribosomal RNA", at positions 28 to 507 of the family's 1533-position model. The record is from RNAcentral.
GAUGAACGCUGGCGGCGUGCCUAAUACAUGCAAGUCGAGCGAACAGAUGAGGAGCUUGCUCCUCUGACGUUAGCGGCGGACGGGUGAGUAACACGUGGAUAACCUACCUAUAAGACUGGGAUAACUUCGGGAAACCGGAGCUAAUACCGGAUAAUAUAUUGAACCGCAUGGUUCAAUAGUGAAAGACGGUUUUGCUGUCACUUAUAGAUGGAUCCGCGCCGCAUUAGCUAGUUGGUAAGGUAACGGCUUACCAAGGCAACGAUGCGUAGCCGACCUGAGAGGGUGAUCGGCCACACUGGAACUGAGACACGGUCCAGACUCCUACGGGAGGCAGCAGUAGGGAAUCUUCCGCAAUGGGCGAGAGCCUGACGGAGCAACGCCGCGUGAGUGAUGAAGGUCUUCGGAUCGUAAAACUCUGUUAUUAGGGAAGAACAAAUGUGUAAGUAGCUAUGCACGUCUUGACGGUACCUAAUCAGAAAGCCACGGCUAACUACGUG